Molecule: long non-coding RNA, 863 nt
Organism: Bubalus bubalis (water buffalo)
Lineage: Eukaryota; Metazoa; Chordata; Mammalia; Artiodactyla; Bovidae
Exons: 2
Source: RefSeq, a predicted model, not a curated record
UUCACAUACUUUAUGGUGGCUCUUUGGGUUACCCAUGUGAAUUCAAUAUUCUCCCGAUUGCCCAUAAUUGCAUUCGGGUGGCAGUGUGUGAAGAAUGGUCCCUAAAGCAGCAACAGGAGCAUCACUUGGGUAGUUGUUAGAAAUGUAAAAUCUGGGGCCUAUCAAAGAAAAAAGGAAAAGUGAGGAGACUGAUUUUAUUCAGACCACUGCAGUAGGGCAACACUGAAAACCGAUCUGACUGUCUCAGCUGGUUGGUUUGACCUUAGACUUCUGUAGUGAGAACAAAACAAGUUGCAGGAGAAAUGAUUUACAUUGUGAUUGUUUUGCAAUCAAGGGAUGUCUCAGUCAGCUGACAGGGAGUUUAUAUCUGCAAAUAGCUGGUUUCAGCAGAACAAACACUUCUACUCUUAGCUAAUUCUUCCAGAGACUAAAAAUAAAACCUUGGAGGAUCUGUGUUUGGCCUUGUCACAAGUAAACAGGAGUCAUCUGCAAAUCUCUGUGAGUUCAAAGAAAGUGUGGACGGUGAGUCUAAGUCACAUGGAAAAGAGUGGCUCUUGGCGAGAAGGCACUUCUCAAAACACAAAAUGACUCCACCCUGGACACCCCCUUAUCUGAAAGUCCGACAUUGUGAUGCACACUCUGCGGGUUAGCAGGCCAUCCAGGUGUUUCUCCAGCACAAUCAAGCUUGAGAACCAAAAUGUUAGGCUUUAUCUCCAAAACCUGCUUUUCUGUCUAUCUGGCUUGUUUCAACAUUCUGCAGAUGAUUUUUUUUUUUUAACCUGUUCCUUUACCUUUUGAACAAAGAAUGUGUCCCAUAUCAGUCAAUAAAGGAUGACUGAUUUAGUCACAUAUCAGUCAUAUCA